GGGGGCGUGGCGCAGAUGGUAGCGCGCUCGCUUAGCAAUGAUUUACUAGCAUGCGAGAGGUAGCGGGAUCGAUACCCGUCGCCUCCA
Molecule: transfer RNA, 87 nt
Filed under: Euroglyphus maynei
Lineage: Eukaryota; Metazoa; Arthropoda; Arachnida; Sarcoptiformes; Pyroglyphidae
Rfam family: tRNA
About the family: Transfer RNA (tRNA) molecules are approximately 80 nucleotides in length.
Source: Rfam by way of RNAcentral